RNAcentral lists this long non-coding RNA (3594 nucleotides) under Homo sapiens (human). RNAcentral's name for it is "HSALNT0143266". Lineage: Eukaryota; Metazoa; Chordata; Mammalia; Primates; Hominidae. The record is from RNAcentral.
GGAUAAGAUCUGACUUUCUUAUAUCCGUGUGGCUACAGCCAAUUUGAGGGCAACUGUGAGAAAGAAAGAACAUCAAGUCAGUCCCCUUUACUGCCUUAAGCAGAAACUUCUUUUAUACUCAAGUGUUUAAGUAAGGCAUUUUACUGAAAAAGGAAAAGUGUCAAAAUCAGGACCAAGCUGUGCUCAUUCAUUUAUUCACUGAGUCCCUACCUGAGCCAGGCCCUGUCUGGGUGCUGGGGACACAAGCGAUAUGUGAGUAGUGCCUGCCUUAUCAUGAGCUAACUUUCUUUUUUUUUUCUGAGACGGAGUCUGGAGUGCAGUGGCACGAUCCUGGCUCACUGCAAGCUCCGCCUCCCGGGUUCACACCAUUCUCCUGCCUCAGCCUCCCGAGUAGCUGGGACUACAGGCACCCACCACCACGCCCGGCUAAUUUUUGGUAUUUUUAAUAGAGUCAGGGUUUCACCGUGUUAGCCAGGAUGGUCUCGAUCUCCUGACCUCGUGAUCCGCCCGCCUCGGCCUCCCAAAGUGCUGGGAUUACCGGCGUGAGCCACCGCGCCCAGCCUAUGAGCUAUCUUUCUAAUGAGGAAGACAGGCAACCACUAGGGAACCAAAUAAAUGCUUGCUGCAAGUUCAGGUCACCUUAUGGGCUAUGAGGGCAACAAAGCAGGGUCAGGGAGAGAGAGUGCUGGGGCCACAGCUUCACUGGCUGGACUCAGGGCAUGCCUCACCGAACACAUCUUAUCUAGGGCAGGACCCAGAAUGAAGCGUGGGAACAAGUCUGCAUGUGGUCUGGGCUGAGGCAGUAGCAAGUGCAGUGCUGAGGACGUUCCAGCUUGGUGCCCUGGAGUGACAGCAAGCUCUAUGUGGCUGCAGCGACCCAGGCAAGAGGGAGAGCAGUUGGAAGUGAGGUCAGUGCGCCAAUGGGGCUUUGGAGUUUAUUUAAUUUAAUUAAUUUAUUUAUUUUGAGAUGGAGUCUCACUCUUUCACCCAGGCUGGGGUGCAGUGGCGUGAUCUCAGCUCACUGCAACUUCCGCCUCCUGGGUUCAAGCAAUUCUCCUGCAUCAGCCUCCUGAGUAGCUGGGAUUACAGGCGCCUGCCACCAUGCCUGGCUAAUUUUGUGUAUUUUUAGUAGAGAUGGGGUUUCACCAUGUUGGCCAGGCUGGUCUCGAACUCCUGACCUCAAGUGAUCCACCUGCCUCGGCCUCCCAAAGUGCUGGGAUUACAGGCAUGAGCCACCGUGCCUGGACUUGGAUUUUAUUUUAAAUAUGAAGACAAAACACUGGAAGGUUUUGAGAUGGGUGAGGAGUGUGUUUGGUUUACAUCUGGAAAAUGUUACUCUGGCUGCUUAUGGAGAAUACAAAACAGGGAGGUAAGAGAAGGGCAGGGAAAAUAGCAUGGGGGAUCCUGCAGGGUGCAGGAGAGAGGUGAGGGCAGCUCGGCUGAGGGUGGUAUGGCGAUCAGCUUCAGGACAUGCUUGACCAUAGAACCUAUAGGACUUGCCGAUGGAGUGGCUGUGGAGCAUAAGCGAAAGGGAAGAAGCGAGCUUCAUCUGGGUAGAUCAGUGACUGGUAGUGCCCUUCAUCACAGUGGGAAACGAUGGGGCAAAACAGGCUGCAGCACAGAACCACAGUCCUGGUUGGUAUCUGUUUCCUCUGGAAUGGAUGCCCAGUAGCCCUCCUAGAAGAGAGACUGAGUGGGCCACUGGGACUCGGUGGAAAGGCUGCAGCUAAAGACAUCAGUGAGUCACCCACAAAGGGGUGGAAACAAGCCACGGCUCUGCUUCGAUGUGGUCUUCUCUGAGGGCAGUGGGCUGGAUGAAACCACCUAUUUCUUCUCAAAGAAUCUGGUUCUCAAAGUGAACCAAAUUUUGGUAGAUUAGAGGCCCAAUGUUUGGAGUCAAGCUAACCUAGGUCUGAAUUUUCUCUCUACCACCUACUUGCUAGUUAUGAGACCACAGGCAAUUCACAAUAACCCUCUUGAGCCUCCCUUGCCUCUGAGUUAAAAUGGGGAGAGAACCCUUAUUUCCCAAGGUGACAGUCAAUACUGUUAAUUCCCUCCCAGAUCCUCUGUGCUCAAUAAUGUUAAUUCCCUUCCAGAUCCCCUGUGACUAUCAUGUGUUCCCUCAUCAUCAUUCUUCCAAGAAGUUUUAAAGUUCUGGAUCUAUUUCUAUCUUGCAUAUAUCCCACACAGGCAUGCACCCAUUCAUGCAUUAAUUGACUCUUCUAGGGAUCAGCCCUAUGCUAGGUUCUAAGCAUGCAACUGUGAAAUACAAAUACAUGGUUCCUGCCCACACAGAGCUCUGGCCCAGUGAUCUGAGACAGCUCUCCAUAAAGCACAGGAUAUUAAGACCAAAAACAACAAAUGUGCAAACCACAGUAAAGAUGCAAACCAGAAGGAAAGAAAGUUGGUCAUGGGAGCUCCAAUUUGUCUAGUGGUAGGAAGCCCAACAGUCCAACAUGAAAGAAAGUAUUUCUUGGCCCUGAUCUGUGGAUCAAGGAGUUUUUACAUUAGAGGGGUAUUAAUCAAUGAAAUAUAAUAUGCUUAAUAACAGUAUUUAUUUUUAAAAUAUUAAAAUAUGGCCAGGCACGGUGGCUCACACCUGUAAUUUCAGCACUUUGGGAGGCCGAGGCAGGUGGAUCACAUGAGGUCAGGAGUUUGAGACCAGCCUGGCCAACAUGGCGAAACCCUAUCUUUACUAAAAAUACAAAAAUUAGCCAGGCGUGGUGGCGCAUGCCUGUAAUCCCAGCUACUCGUGAGGCUGAGGCAGGAAAAUCACUUGAAUCCAGGAGGUGGGGGUUGCGGUGAGCCAAGAUUGCACCAUUGCACUCCAGCCUGGGCAACAGAGCAAGACUCUGUCUCAAAACAAAACAAAACAAACAAAAAAAAAGUGCCCUACAUACUCAGGUACAUGAUGUGUUAAAUCAUAAUUACAGAAAGGCAAUUAUAUGAAAGAGGAUCAGGGUGAUUUGGCCCAGGUAUGCAUCAUUUUGAUGAUUUGGCUUUGCAUUAGGGCAAGGCUGGAGAAAUGUUUUACACUAGUUUAAAAAUCUGUAUUUUUUUCCCAGCCUGUCCCCCUACGCUGUGAAGUCUCAAAGCGAAUUCUCCUUCCUUUCUUCCUUCCUUCCUGCCUUCCUUCCUUCCCUCCCUCCCCGCCCUCCUCUCUUCUCCUUCCUCCUCCUCUCUUCUUCCUUCCUUCUUUCCUUCCCUCCCCCUCCUCCUUUCUCCUUCCUUCCCUCCCUCCCUCCUCCCCCUCCCUCCCUCUCUCUCUCUCUCUCUCUUUCUUUCUUUCUUUCUUUCUCUCCUCUUUCCUCUUUCUUUUUUUGACAGGGUCUCAUUCUGUCACCCAGACUGGAGUGGCACUAUCUCUGCUUACUGUGACCUCUGCCUCUGAGGCUCAAGCAAUCCUCCCACCUCAGCCUCCUGAGUAGCUGGGCCCACAGGUGCACAAUAUCACGCCUGGCUAAUUUUUAAAAAAUUUUUGGUAGAGACAGAGUUUCACCAUGUUUCCCAGGCUGGUCCUGAACUCCUGAGCUCAAGUGAUCCACCUGCCUUGGCCUCCCAAAGUGCUGGGAUUACAGGCAUGAGCCACCGUGC